RNAcentral lists this ribosomal RNA (497 nucleotides) under uncultured bacterium. Its description in RNAcentral is "partial 16S ribosomal RNA". It matches the Rfam family "Bacterial small subunit ribosomal RNA", at positions 28 to 507 of the family's 1533-position model. The record is from RNAcentral.
GAUGAACGCUGGCGGCGUGCCUAAUACAUGCAAGUCGAGCGAACGGACGAGAAGCUUGCUUCUCUGAUGUUAGCGGCGGACGGGUGAGUAACACGUGGAUAACCUACCUAUAAGACUGGGAUAACUUCGGGAAACCGGAGCUAAUACCGGAUAAUAUUUUGAACCGCAUGGUUCAAAAGUAAAAGACGGUCUUGCUGUCACUUAUAGAUGGAUCCGCGCUGCAUUAGCUAGUUGGUAAGGUAACGGCUUACCAAGGCAACGAUGCAUAUCCGACCUGAGAGGGUGAUCGGCCACACUGGAACUGAGACACGGUCCAGACUCCUACGGGAGGCAGCAGUAGGGAAUCUUCCGCAAUGGGCGAAAGCCUGACGGAGCAACGCCGCGUGAGUGAUGAAGGUCUUCGGAUCGUAAAACUCUGUUAUUAGGGAAGAACAUAUGUGUAAGUAACUGUGCACAUAUUGACGGUACCUAAUCAGAAAGCCACGGCUAACUACGUG